CAGCCGCCACGGUAAUACGUAGGGUGCAAGCGUUAAUCGGAAUUACUGGGCGUAAAGCGUGCGCAGGCGGUUUGUUAAGACAGAUGUGAAAUCCCCGGGCUCAACCUGGGAACUGCAUUUGUGACUGGCAAGCUAGAGUCUGGCAGAGGGGGGUGGAAUUCCGCGUGUAGCAGUGAAAUGCGUAGAUAUGCGGAGGAACACCGAUGGCGAAGGCAGCCCCCUGGGCCAACACUGACGCUCAUGCACGAAAGCGUGGGGAGCAAACAGGAUUAGAUACCCCUGUAGUCCCUGUCUCUUAUAC
Molecule: ribosomal RNA, 301 nt
Filed under: uncultured bacterium
Lineage: Bacteria
Description: partial 16S ribosomal RNA
Rfam family: Bacterial small subunit ribosomal RNA
Source: RNAcentral